Molecule: ribosomal RNA, 140 nt
Filed under: uncultured eukaryote
Lineage: Eukaryota
Description: partial 18S ribosomal RNA
Rfam family: Eukaryotic small subunit ribosomal RNA
Source: RNAcentral
UGGUGGAGUGAUUUGUCUGGUUAAUUCCGUUAACGAACGAGACCUCAGCCUGCUAACUAGUUACGCGGAGCUCUGUCUUCGCGGACAACUUCUUAGAGGGACUAUGAGCGCAUAGCUCAUGGAAGUUUGAGGCAAUAACA